ACACGGAUUUGGGAUGUGUCC
Molecule: microRNA, 21 nt
Filed under: Picea abies (Norway spruce)
Lineage: Eukaryota; Viridiplantae; Streptophyta; Pinopsida; Pinales; Pinaceae
Description: pab-miR11416
Source: miRBase by way of RNAcentral